RNAcentral lists this transfer RNA (84 nucleotides) under Candidatus Iainarchaeum sp. RNAcentral's name for it is "tRNA-Ser". It matches the Rfam family "tRNA". Rfam says of the family: Transfer RNA (tRNA) molecules are approximately 80 nucleotides in length. Their secondary structure includes four short double-helical elements and three loops (D, anti-codon, and T loops). Lineage: Archaea; Nanobdellati; Candidatus Iainarchaeota; Candidatus Iainarchaeia; Candidatus Iainarchaeales; Candidatus Iainarchaeaceae. The record is from RNAcentral.
GCGGAGGUGGCAGAGUGGUCAAAUGCGCCAGCCUUGAGAGCUGGUAUCCGAAAGGAUACGCGAGUUCAAAUCUCGUCCUCCGCG